GCUGCAGAGAAAAGCAGAUACUUCCUCUUCUGUACUCUGAGUGAAACUCAUUCCUGUAUAGAGGGGCCACAGAGGCCUGUGCACCCUUUAGAUCUACUGGAGCCCUAUUUUGAGGACAUAAAUUGUGCAUAGGCCAUGGAUGGGUGCUCUGCAUAAGGUGAAUUGCAUGCUGCCUGAGAUCAGGAGGCUGAAUGGUGUCAUAGUGGCUCCUGGGAUCACAGAAGAUGGUAAGCGUGACAACCAUGAUGGAGCAGCUGAUUCCUUUUUGUCCUGCUGUCCUCUGGCCUGUUUGAUCCCCCUUUUGAAGCCUUUUUUAAGGACCCACAAAAAGAAGCGAUAGGUGCAAUAACCCAUCGCCCCAUUAUUUUGUCCACCAGUUAAACCUAACUUCUGGCACACCAAUUUUGGUCCAUUAAUUUCCGAUUCCAUUCUCUUCUUUGGGUGGUAUAAGUAGACCUUUUUGUUUGGACCUAUUCAAUCUUUCUGUCUUUAAAUUUGGCUAACUUUUAUAAACAAGUUUAUGUAA
Molecule: long non-coding RNA, 526 nt
Organism: Chelonia mydas (Green sea turtle)
Lineage: Eukaryota; Metazoa; Chordata; Testudines; Cheloniidae
Exons: 2
Source: RefSeq, a predicted model, not a curated record